Molecule: ribosomal RNA, 483 nt
Filed under: uncultured bacterium
Lineage: Bacteria
Description: partial 16S ribosomal RNA
Rfam family: Bacterial small subunit ribosomal RNA
Source: RNAcentral
GAUGAACGCUGGCGGUGUGCUUAACACAUGCAAGUCGAACGAUGAAGCCCAGCUUGCUGGGUGGAUUAGUGGCGAACGGGUGAGUAACACGUGAGUAACCUGCCCUUAACUCUGGGAUAAGCCUGGGAAACUGGGUCUAAUACCGGAUAGGAGCGCCUACCGCAUGGUGGGUGUUGGAAAGAUUUAUCGGUUUUGGAUGGACUCGCGGCCUAUCAGCUGGUUGGUGGGGUAAUGGCUCACCAAGGCGACGACGGGUAGCCGGUCCUGAGGGGGUGACCGGCCACACUGGGACUGAGACACGGCCCAGACUCCUACGGGAGGCAGCAGUGGGGAAUAUUGCACAAUGGGCGAAAGCCUGAUGCAGCGACGCCGCGUGAGGGAUGACGGCCUUCGGGUUGUAAACCUCUUUCAGUAGGGAAGAAGCGAAAGUGACGGUACCUGCAGAAGAAGCACCGGCUAACUACGUGCCAGCCGCCGCGGUAA